UACGGAGGGUGCAAGCGUUAUCCGGAAUUACUGGGCAUAAAGGGUUCGUAGGCGGUCAAAAAAGCCAAUAGUGAAAUCCACCGGCCUAACCGGUGUAAGCUAAUGGAACUGAUUGACUUGAGUACAGGAGAGGAAAGUGGAAUUCCUAAUGUAGUAGUGAAAUGCGUAGAUAUUAGGAGGAACAUCAGUAGCGAAGGCGACUUUCUGGACUGAAACUGACGCUGAGGAACGAAAGCGUGGGGAGUAAACAGGAUUAGAUACCCUGGUAGUCCACGCCGUAAACGAUGGAUACUUGGCGUCGGCCGUAAAGGUCGGUGCCGGAGCAAAUGCAUUAAGUAUCCCGCCUGGGGAGUACGGUCGCAAGGCUGAAACUCAAAAGAAUUGACGGGGACCCGCACAAGCAGCGGAGCAUGUGGUUUAAUUCGAAGCAACGCGAAGAACCUUACCAAAUCUUGACAUAUCAGAGCUAUCUUAGUAAAAUAAGAGUUCCUUAGGGACUCUGAAUACAGGUGGUGCAUGGUUGUCGUCAGCUCGUGUCGU
RNAcentral lists this ribosomal RNA (540 nucleotides) under uncultured Gram-positive bacterium. Its description in RNAcentral is "bacterial SSU rRNA". It matches the Rfam family "Bacterial small subunit ribosomal RNA", at positions 524 to 1068 of the family's 1533-position model. The record is from RNAcentral.